This is a long non-coding RNA of Portunus trituberculatus (swimming crab), 424 nucleotides long. RefSeq lists it as uncharacterized. The transcript is spliced from 3 exons. The record is from RefSeq and is a predicted model, not a curated record. Lineage: Eukaryota; Metazoa; Arthropoda; Malacostraca; Decapoda; Portunidae.
GAAGAAAGGAAAAUGGAAGUGGAAGAAGAGGAGGAGCCAAACCACAAUAUUUAGGGCACUGUCCCCAAGAAACCGUCCAGUGCGUUCGCCUCAAUUCCCGGCCUCCCCUUCGCAGCUCCUCCACCCGCCUGAUUUGACGUCACAUAAAAUGACAAAUGUCCGCAGAAAACGACACGCCGAUUUAUUUGAAGUGAAGGACAGAGAUUAAAACGGCCUUGAAAAAAACCAUACCUGUUUUGUCCACCGCCAUCACCACCUUCUCCCAGAUCAAGGACAAACUGUAUUACAGACUCACACAUAAGGAAGAGGUGCGUGUGAGUGUGUUUGGGUGUGUUUGGAUGCGUUUGGGUGUGUUUUGGGUCUGUUUGGGUGUGUUUUGAGGUGUUUAGAGUGUGUUUGGUAUGUUUUGGGGUUCUUGGGUGCA